RNAcentral lists this long non-coding RNA (6741 nucleotides) under Mus musculus (house mouse). RNAcentral describes it as "shlncRNA-EC9". The stretch from base 3036 to 3110 matches the Rfam family "Small nucleolar RNA SNORD113/SNORD114 family". The record is from RNAcentral. Lineage: Eukaryota; Metazoa; Chordata; Mammalia; Rodentia; Muridae.
AUCUAUCUAGACUAUCUAUUAUUAUAGAUACUAUAUAUAUUACAAUACAAGUAAUUUAAAUAUAAUAUAAUAUAAUUUAAAUAUAUAUGAAUACACACAGACAGACACACAGACACACAGACACACAGAGUCACACGUGUGACCUUGUCUACUUUAAUGUCAAUUUGUCAGAAGCACAUUACUAAUUGUUCCAUGUAUAUGGUACUGAGGAAAGUCAUUGAGAAAUUGAUUUUCUAGCAGAAAAAAAAACAAAAAAAUGAAGACAUGUGUUAGAGGUACUUAUGGGUGUGUAUCACAGCUGUACACAUGAUGGCAUUAUUUGAAUCCAGACUUUUUAGAAAAUAUUUUAGAGGACUAAUAUUGUAGUUCACAUGGACUUGUCCUAUCUUAUUUAGAGUAGUGAUGAGCACACGCAUAAGUCAGUAGUCCUCAUUUGAUUAGAUGUAUUCAGCAAAUAAACUACUCUAUAGUAAUCCAGGUACUUCUUACAUGGUGGCCAAAAAUGUGAAGAAAAUCAUUCAUCAAAACAAACGAGUAAUCUACAACGAUGUGGUUAUUACUAUAGUGCAUAUGCCUCUGCUUAACUUGUAUUGUACGAUUUAUAAAUUGCCAGUUAAAUAAUAAUUAAUGCAAGACUCAAGAAGUCAUAUGUUCCUCUAGUAUAAACCAAUGAGAUCGAUAGAAAUAAGUCAAGUGGACUCUCCCUGUCUGCAUGCACGUGCCAGAUGACAGGCGCAGCUGUCUGAAACCUGGCCAUCCAACACAGAAGAUAAGUGGAUAAUCCUAGUUAGGAAAGCAUGUGUCAUGUUUCAGCCUCUGCUGCUUUGUCACACUCCCCAGAACAGGCAUUCCUAGGCUCAAGCCAUCUUCCAUGGUCACCAGCCCACUUACGAGCUGACUAAAUGUGUCAUGGUAGACCUUAGCGAGAAGAAUGACUGAUAGUGGUCAUGUGAAUUAGAUGCUUCGUAUUAUUUAGCAGAGAGGAGCAAGGGGCAGAUCGAUGGCUGUGCAGGGAAGACCUGGAUACUUAGAAUCAGAGGUUGGAAAGAAGAGCAGGGUUCCCUUAAGCUGGCCUGUUACUUCCACAGCUAUCUCCCUCAACACAGAGAAAUAAGCAUCAUAAAAUGAAUGUGAAAUGUGAUUGUAUUAGGCCAAAUGUGACCAAUGAAACAAAUUAAAUUAUCACGAAUUAGACCGUUGAAUUGGCCAUGCCUGUAAAAGCAAGAUUCAUCUCUGAAGGAGACUUGGCAUAUGAGCUUUUUCUUUGUUUGAGAGGAGCUUCUGGCUUAUUUCAGUCCUUGGGAAAGAUAAUAGAGAUUUCUGUGGUUAUCAGUGAAGAAGUGAUUCCAUGAUCAGCCAAUAGAAACGUGAAUGCAGGAAAGCAGAGCCAUACCAGAUCAAUGGGGGAGACGGUGGCUGUAAGAGAGGACACAAGUCCCUUUCUCAGAGGGCCAUCCUGCACCAGAAUUGUACUCCAUCAUAAUUAUUUCAUAUUUUAAUUCUCUGAAUAUCAAUAAAACAAUAAAGGAGUAUCUAAAUGAGGGAUGGAUCCUCCCAGGGAAACAAGGUCCACAUGAGUCUUGGUUAGGUUGAAGUAGUUCAUGUUGUAAGUCAUGAUUGUCAAAGCAAAUCCUUAUAAUAUUGAAGACAUGGAAUCUAUGAUUCAUCAAAUAUAUAUCAUCAAAUAUAUAUGGAAAUUGGAGGGUAAUUAACAUACAUUUUAACAUUGGUGAUCUCUGAGUUCACCAUAUGAAUAAUUAAAGACUGGAUGUGGCUGACACAGAAAAGAACGAGAUGAAGCAAUUAUAUUAUAUCAUUUAAGUACUGAUUUGUGAAUAUGAGAUAAACAGAUAUUGGAGGUCAAGGACAUUGAGUACUUUACUGACAAGUUAUAGAUACAGCCCAACACAUACAGGCUAUAGUUUGUGAAUCUUUGGUUCAUGGACAUGUGUUUACAUAAAGUUAUCACAGGAAAUUGAGUUGUUUGAAUUGAAGUUAGGUGGCUAAAAUGAGGUUCCAAAGGUAAAUAAGAAUGGUAGCAAAUGCUAGAGAAGUCACUUGAUAGUAAUACUCCUCAAAAUAAAGUUAGUGCAGAACGUCUGGCUGGAAUGGGGUAUCCUAGAUGACUUGAUAAUCUCCUUGUAUUGGAGGGAACGUAACCCCACGCCCUUAGAGAGAAAGCCAGGUUUUCCUUUCAAAUGUAGGAAUCGUGGGACAAUCUUGAGAGCAAGUCUUUAGAUUUUUACUUCUUUCUCUGCCUUCUACCAUCCAUGGAGAAGACCCAAGUGAUCUCAAAGGUUUGCAGUGACGGACAGUUCCUGGGAUGCCAUAGCAACAAUUCAGAGCUCAUGGUGACUUGACAUCUUCGGCUUUGAUCCUUCGGUUGGAACCUGCUGAUAGAAAAGCUGACUUAACUGAUGGCACAAGUGUACUCUGAACCAGAACCCACUUCGGUCUUCACCGUGACAGCCUGAGCCCUGCUGACUGAGAGGCGGCAUUUUGAUCUUCCUCACUUAAGAGAGCUGACCCAAGUGAUAUGAGAAGUUUGCUGUGAUGGACAGUUUCUGGGUGCUUUGCCAACAAUCCAGAGUACAUGGUGACAUGUCAACUCCAGCUGUGAUCCUCCUGUGUGGCACUGACUUACAGAAAUGGCGACCCAACAGAUGGUACCAGCAUGCUGAGAUAUAGAACCACCCUUGUAUCACCACUGUGACAUCUCAGAGCUUUGCCGACCAAGAGGCAACAUCUUGAUCUUCCUUGCCCACCAGCUUGCAGGAAGGUGACUCUAGUGAUGGUAGAGUUAUGGAUAAUGGACAAUUCCUGGGAUGCCAUGGCAACAGUCCACAGCCCAUGGUGACUUGUCAACUCCAGCUCUGUUCCUUCUGUGCGCACCUGCUUAUAGGUAUGGAGAUUUAAUCAAAGCAUCGGUGAUCAAGCAGAUAUGGGUAGAAAGUGUUAACUUAGUGCUAGCUUGUGGAUCACACAGUGUGAUGCCACACUUACCAAGAAUGAGUCAAUUCUGAGAGAGGGGAACCCAGAACAAUGAUGAGAUCUGGUGGCAUCUGAAUUUUUCUUGAUGGCAUCCAUGUCAAGAGAAAUCUGAAGUCAGGUACAGAGCCACUUGAGCUGAACUGCCCUCCAUUGUAAGUUCCAUUAGCAAGGAAACAUGGCUGACAGGUAGUCGAAGUUGGUUUAAAUUGUGCAGAACCACAACCUUGCAUGGGGACCUCACAAAGGGCAUGUUGAGAAAUAGGUGUACUGAGAUGCUGACCCUAAGCAGCAUGCCAGAGCAUAGAGGGGACCCAGCUCUUUUUUCCUUCAAGUGGAAAGAAAUUAGUCUUUUCUGGGAAGAAAAUGUACAGGUACAGCUCAGGCAAAGCCCAUCAGCCUGAGUGACGUCACCGUGGAGAACAUGGCAUGGUGACCCACAGUCUCAACACUCUCUGUCCCUUUUCUCCCCUGUUUUCCUCAGAAAGGCUGACCUGGUGAUGGUGAACCACCACCCCAAGUCUGCAUGUCACAAAUCAGCAUCUCUCUCUCCUAUGGAGUCUGGUUCUAGGUCUUGACAGAGGCUGAUUGACUGAUGUCAUUGCAAAAGUUUCCUGUCAUAGAGAGUUCCUCUGAUGUCCCUUCAGCACCACUACAACUGGAUUUCCUAUGUUUAAUGACUGCCUCAAGGUAAACAUGGGUAAAAGCCAUACAUUUUGUCGAUGUUUUGGUUAUUAUGGCUGUAACUUUACAAAGCAUGAAAUAGAAUCCUACAGGUCUACUCUUACUUUGUCUUUUGGGGUGAAGAUGGGCUUGUGUCCUGAGUAAAUACGAUGUCUGAAGAUGGUUCAUAGCACUUUCUUCAUAGCGCUGUGAAUACUACAGUCUGAAUAUAUCAGAGAGCUGUGCUCCUGUUGAAUAUUUGUGUAUCACCAGCAUUGCUAGUGAAUUAUUGGCUUAGCCAGUAAAUAGUAUCUAUGAGAACGAGGAAAGGUCAAGCCAUUUCUGGACCAAUGAUGAUAGUUACCAAGGUAUGAGAGAGAUGACGAAUAACACUUGUCUGAAGCUCAGAGGUCCAACCCAAAAGAUAGGUAGAUAAUCAAAGGUCCUUGAAGGACAAUGGCAUUUUUUUUUUCUUUUGUGCUCUGUUUUGUACUCCUCAGAAUGUGUGCUCCUAGGCUGAUGUCUGCAUUUUCUAUGAUCAGCAGUGGAACAUUUGCACCUCUGCAUUGAACAUGGGGCAGUGUGGACCAUCUAAUUAGAGGACCCUCCAAUGGUCAAGCACUCUAUUUGCACCAGCUUGAGGAGACGAACAAGACCAGUAAUGGACUUUCCCAAGGUAUCUAUUCACCUCCAAUGGCUUCCAGCCCUUCAGUUGCUCGUGAUGAUGUGAGAUCUGCCCAAACUUCUCCUCAUAGUUUUGAUGGUUUGAUGAAGGUGUUUGCUGCCUGGAGGAGGUCUCCAUGUCUAGGAUCUCCGCUGAUGUCAUGGGUGGUGCUGGGCUGACCAGUGUGAGUAGUGCCUUGGACUCUUUCUCCACGUUUGGUGGUUUGCUUAGCAGAACUCAGUGUGUCACUGAGAACUGUAACAUGGCAUUUAGAAUGAGUGUUUCAUACCAGGGAGUGCCACAGACAUGAAUGGAAGUUGUCAAAUUAUUAAUAAAACAUUGAGGAUGGUUAAUUAAGGCUAGAACACUUCCACACUGAUUAGGAAUAAGAUUUUUAGGGUUGUUGGAAUAAUAGGUGCUCAAAUUAUUAUUAGCUGAUCGUUGAACUAAUUAUCAGACAAUAGGAAAGGACUGCUUGGAAAGAGAAAGGAGCAGCCAUGACUGAUCCUGAGCACUGUUGACAUAUGAGUCACAUGGAUAACUACAUGUCUGGAACUUUGAGAUCUACUAAAGAAGUAAUAUAAUCCUCUGUCUUCAUUUCAAGUGUUCCUGUAGAAAGACUACCAGCCCGGAUAAUCUGUUCAUUUCGCCCCACCCUCCCUUGUUAUAAAUUCUAUUUUGUUUUUAUAAUUAUAUCAAUGUGAGAAUCAAGCAAUCAGUCUCAAAAAUAAGUGAAAAUGAAAUGGGUAAAUCAUUGCCUGAGCCAAGAAAUAGAUUAGUAUGUACAGAAUAUUAUGCCACCUUAAAAUUUUUUUCUUGCCGCUGAUGACCUGAAGCAUGUAAAUUACAAUGUCUGCAUUCUGAGAGAGUUUGAAAAUUCCUUGUUUUUAAGCCACAAGAACAUUAAAUAUGCUCCAAAAAUGGUGGGCCUAGUGGCCAGUGGUAGGUGAGAAGUGAAACCUGUUAAAGGGAAAGACUUGAUUUCUUGUUCAGUCAUCCCUAGAAUGGACGCACUGUCUGACAGGGGCAUCCUCCAUGAUUGGGGUCUCCUGUUUCUGCUGGACUGAUUCUGAAUAGUUUUGCUUAAGUUCAGAAAAAAAAAAAAAAGAUUCAAAAUUCUGUUUUGAAAGAUUUGCUUACGAUUACUCAGUGCCUUAUGCAGCUAGGAGGUUUCCAUCUUUAGUACCCGCCCUUUAUAGACAGAGGCCUCGAGAAGUAGAUCUCUGAGUUUAAGGACAGUCUGAGCUACAAACCAAGUUCCAGAACAGCCAGCGCUCCACACAGACAAAAAUAAUAUUCACAUGAUUAGUGAAGACCACCUGUAUCCCAGUGAUUGAUCACUGAUGGAUAUUGAGUCUUCUAUUGAUUGUACUUUUAUGAAAAUGUGAAUUAAUUACCAGCUAGUCUGAAGUUAUUCAUCUUCUUAUAAAAUUAAAGACUCCAACUGAGUCAAAAAGAUACAAAACUAGAAUGGAGAGUGAGCAGGUCUUCCGUCUCUCAUAUUCUGUCUGAUGUUUGUUUCCGAGUGAAGGAACGAUGUUACUGAAGAGUCUGCCAUGGUCAAGGGCUCUGUGCUUUCCCAAGAAGAAGUUCAUGUUGAAUAGUAGAGCAAUGGGAAGAGAGUUCCUUAUUCACACCUGGGGUUUAAGUACAGCGGAUGCAUGCAGCUCCUCUCAUCAUGGAUACUUCAGGAUGAAGGUCACAACACUCACUGCAUGGCUGGGCCAGUACAGACCUCAAUGAGUAAGAGACCAAGUUUCCUGCUUGCUCUUUCUGUUAAGCUGAUCACUGUCUACUUCAAAUUGGCAUUAUGUGUCAUAUAGUCAAAGAUAACUACACAUAUUCCAAUGCUUGGGGUGGGGGGUCCUGGAAAGCCACAGUCAGUCUGUGUGCAUAAAUGGGACCUAUACACUGUAGGUUUUGACUACAUUCUGGAAAUGAGAUUACAGACACUCUCUUAUGUGCAGGCAAAACCUUGUUCUUGUUAAGAAAAGGACAUAGAAUAAAGGGCUCACACAGCACCCAUCCUGGAAUUGUACCAUAAAAGAUUUAUUUUAACUAGGGUGAGGUAUUGUGCUCCACUAAUGGAGUCUACAGAAAAAAAUGUAGAAAACCAACUCCCCCUGUUGUGUUUGGCUGUAAAAUCUUUUCUGUUGAUUUAAUUUAAUUUUUGAAAAUGAGUGACUAAAUUAAUCAGGAAAAAUCUAUGCCCAGAAAUUGUAAAUGUUGGAGAUUAUCCCCAUGAGAUGAGAACGCUGGCCAUGAAAAUUAAGAUUUAUGGGCAACUCAAAUUUUUCCUCUUAAUCCCAUUUAACACAAAAAGAUUUAAUCUGUUGCCUUUGUAUGUAAGGAACCCUGCCCCAAACCACAUUAAAUACUCAUUCUUUUUCAUUUAUUUUGUACUUCGAUGAGUUUACAAAACUGUC